GUAUGACUCUCGGCAAUGGAUAUCUUGGCUCUUGCAUCGAUGAAGAGCGCAGCGAAAUGCGAUACGUGGUGUGAAUUGCAGAAUUCCGUGAACCAUCGAAUUUUUGAACGCAAGUUGCGCCCGAGGCCAAUUGGCUAAGGGCACGUCCGCCUGGGCGUCAAGC
RNAcentral lists this ribosomal RNA (163 nucleotides) under Microchilus arietinus. RNAcentral's name for it is "5.8S ribosomal RNA". It matches the Rfam family "5.8S ribosomal RNA". From Rfam's summary of the family: 5.8S ribosomal RNA (5.8S rRNA) is a component of the large subunit of the eukaryotic ribosome. Lineage: Eukaryota; Viridiplantae; Streptophyta; Magnoliopsida; Asparagales; Orchidaceae. The record is from RNAcentral. RNAcentral also lists the same sequence under 11 other names.